Molecule: ribosomal RNA, 230 nt
Filed under: uncultured bacterium
Lineage: Bacteria
Description: partial 16S ribosomal RNA
Rfam family: Bacterial small subunit ribosomal RNA
Source: RNAcentral
AAAGCGUGCGCAGGCGGUUUUGUAAGACUGUCGUGAAAUCCCCGGGCUCAACCUGGGAAUGGCGAUGGUGACUGCAAGGCUAGAGUUUGGCAGAGGGGGGUAGAAUUCCACGUGUAGCAGUGAAAUGCGUAGAUAUGUGGAGGAACACCGAUGGCGAAGGCAGCCCCCUGGGUCAAAACUGACGCUCAUGCACGAAAGCGUGGGGAGCAAACAGGAUUAGAUACCCGGGA